AGUUCGAACUUCAGAUUAUGCAAGGUGAGAAUACAUAUGUUGUUGAAUCUUUGAUUGAAUUCAAUGCAUGAGCAUGCUCUUACACGUAACCUAAAAAUAUAAUAGUGUAAAGACCAAAACACCCUCAAGACAAAUGACAAAAAAAAAACAACAUUAAAGAAAAAAAAAUUGAGAACCACAAGAGAACAUAAAUCUUAUCUCCAUAAGAGUCAUAUCUCUAAUCUGAUAACCUUCAAAAUAAGGACAAAAAGAGGGAAAUGAAGGAGAAGGAGAAGAAACGGAGAAAAGUGGCUCACCUCCUCUUUCCUCCCCCUUUGUUCUUAUGUGUUGUUUUUUCUAAGUUAAAGGUCCCACUUGAAUGCCUUUUUCUUCAUGGAAGAGGACUCUUUCUCCCUCUUUCUUCUCUACCUAUAUCUAAUAAGUUAAUAAGCUAAUAAUAAGUGCAAGGAGAUUCAUGGAGAGGCAUGCAUUGUAUUCAUAUUACAAAGUGGGGACAAUCAAGUGACUACCAUUUCUCACACCUAUUCAAGUUCAGUGUUAUCUACAUCUUUUGCAUGGUGUGAGAAACGGAGGAAAGUUGGAAGAAAGAUAAUAAUCAGUACACAACUUGUCUUUUGUUUUAUUUUGCUUCUAUUUGUAUUAGGUGUCAAGAGGAGAAAGAAAGAAGAAAAUAAAUGUAUGCAUAAAAUUAUUUAGUGAAAAUACACUUUUUCAUUUU
Long non-coding RNA from Dioscorea cayenensis subsp. rotundata (Guinea yam), 718 nucleotides. RefSeq lists it as uncharacterized. NCBI's taxonomy places the organism in Eukaryota, Viridiplantae, Streptophyta, Magnoliopsida, Dioscoreales, Dioscoreaceae. The record is from RefSeq and is a predicted model, not a curated record. The transcript is spliced from 2 exons.